RNAcentral lists this ribosomal RNA (439 nucleotides) under uncultured bacterium. Its description in RNAcentral is "partial 16S ribosomal RNA". It matches the Rfam family "Bacterial small subunit ribosomal RNA", at positions 339 to 795 of the family's 1533-position model. The record is from RNAcentral.
CUACGGGGGGCUGCAGUGAGGAAUAUUGCACAAUGGGGGGAACCCUGAUGCAGCAACGCCGCGUGGAGGAUGACGCAUUUCGGUGUGUAAACUCCUUUUAUAUGUCAAGAAAAUGACGGUAGCAUAUGAAUAAGCACCGGCUAACUCCGUGCCAGCAGCUGCGGUAAUACGGAGGGUGCAAGCGUUACUCGGAAUCACUGGGCGUAAAGGACGCGUAGGCGGGUCGGAAAGUCAGGUGUGAAAUCCUACAGCUUAACUGUAGAACUGCACUUGAAACUUCUAAUCUAGAGUAUGGGAGGGGGAGAUGGAAUUAGUGGUGUAGGGGUAAAAUCCGUAGAUAUCACUAGGAAUACCUAAAGCGAAGGCGAUCUCCUGGAACAUUACUGACGCUAAGGCGUGAAAGCGUGGGGAGCAAACAGGAUUAGAUACCCCCGUAGUC